This 253-nucleotide ribosomal RNA is filed under the name uncultured bacterium. Its description in RNAcentral is "partial 16S ribosomal RNA". It matches the Rfam family "Bacterial small subunit ribosomal RNA", at positions 524 to 776 of the family's 1533-position model. The record is from RNAcentral.
UACGUAGGGUGCAAGCGUUGUCCGGAAUUAUUGGGCGUAAAGAGCUCGUAGGCGGUCGUUCAAGUCGCGUGUGAAAGCCCCCGGCUCAACUGGGGAGGGUCACGCGAUACUGAUCGACUCGAAGGCAGGAGAGGGUAGUGGAAUUCCCGGUGUAGUGGUGAAAUGCGUAGAUAUCGGGAGGAACACCAGUGGCGAAGGCGACUACCUGGCCUGUUCUUGACGCUGAGGCGCGAAAGCUAGGGGAGCAAACGGG